RNAcentral lists this ribosomal RNA (113 nucleotides) under Bacillus cereus. The record is from RNAcentral. RNAcentral also lists the same sequence under 1 other name. Lineage: Bacteria; Bacillati; Bacillota; Bacilli; Caryophanales; Bacillaceae.
GGUGAUGAUGGCAGAGAGGUCACACCCGUUCCCAUACCGAACACGGAAGUUAAGCUCUCUAGCGCCGAUGGUAGUUGGGACCUUGUCCCUGUGAGAGUAGGACAUCGCCAAGC